UAUAGGCUCCUACUUGAGGCAAGGUCAUUGUUGACUCAUGUGUUGAAAACUGUUAAGAGAUUUUCCCGAAAGCAAAGGGAAAUCCCGAUAUUUCCGUCUAUAAGAAGUCUGUGGUCUGACCUGUUAUUAUUAUUAUUUGUGCAAGCUGUGUCUCAUUUAAUUUAGUGCCCCUCAAGACAUCAUAUUAAUUAUUAUACUAUUGUUUCUAACAAAUAAAAGUAUAUUUUGAUCUAGAUGGUAUAGAUCCCGAGUAGGAGAGUGGAGAUGUCUCAUGAGAUCACUUGAAAUCAAAUGAAAUUAGUCCUAAUUAUAUUUAUCUCAGGAUACGUAAAUUUUUUUUUUUUAUUUUCACUUUGUCUACUGCAUAAUAAAAGAUGAUAGAGUCAAUGCAUGUUGCAUCUGCUUUUUAUAAAUAAAUGACAAUUUUUUUUAUUACAAAAGUGUUUCAAUUAUUUAAAUUUUGUAAAUAAACAAACUAAGACUAUAGAAAAUGAUGCUGAUACAGAUGUUGCUACGUAGUUGUUAAGUUGUUGCAUGGCCGGCUUUAGAUGAUUGAAAACCCUAGGCGAAGUGAAUUGGGUGGCCUCAAAUUAAAUUAAAAUUAAAACAGCGAAAAAAUAAAAUUACAGGUUUUUUAAACCAGUGUAAUACAACAAAAGCAUUUAGCACAAGUUUCGAUAUUUCUUCUCUACACCCAUCGGAGGCUCUUGGUUAAAUUCACACAAAAAUGAUUUAUUAUUCGCAAUUUCAACAAAAUAAGUCUUUGAAAGCCGACAUUUUAAAGUACAUAAUACAAAUGUAUAUAUUAUUGUAAUACUGGCUGUUACACUGAAUACGCAAAAGGACCAAUUCAUGUAUUGUUGGGGGGGGGGGGGCAUUUCAUUAAAAACUGUGUGUGCGUUAAGGGGCAAUAUAUUGCAGGGAGAUAGAGAUAAGAAAACUACCACUGAUGGGGCUAAUAAGUGUUUGUGCAUAAUCCAUAAUUGUGGACCGUUCAAUUUAAGGGUGAAAGAAACAACAAUAAAGAAGACUUAUACAUUUGAGGGCUAUAGAUGAGGGCUAGGGAUGAGGAUCGUUGUAAUGCGGGCCAUUUUAUUGAGGGAUUUAAGAGUGUAUGCCAAAAAAAAACAACAUAUAUUCUAAGCAUAUACAUAUAC
This is a long non-coding RNA of Biomphalaria glabrata, 1157 nucleotides long. RefSeq lists it as uncharacterized. NCBI's taxonomy places the organism in Eukaryota, Metazoa, Mollusca, Gastropoda, Planorbidae. The transcript has 2 exons. The record is from RefSeq and is a predicted model, not a curated record.